GACGAACGCUGGCGGCGUGCUUAACACAUGCAAGUCGAGCGGAAAGGCCCUUCGGGGUACUCGAGCGGCGAACGGGUGAGUAACACGUGAGUAACCUGCCCCAGACUUUGGGAUAACCCUCGGAAACGGGGGCUAAUACCGGAUACGACACAGCUUCGCAUGGGGUCUGUGUGGAAAGUUUUUCGGUUUGGGAUGGGCUCGCGGCCUAUCAGCUUGUUGGUGGGGUGAUGGCCUACCAAGGCGACGACGGGUAGCCGGCCUGAGAGGGCGACCGGCCACACUGGGACUGAGACACGGCCCAGACUCCUACGGGAGGCAGCAGUGGGGAAUAUUGCACAAUGGGCGGAAGCCUGAUGCAGCGACGCCGCGUGAGGGAUGACGGCCUUCGGGUUGUAAACCACUUUCAGCAGGGACGAAGCGUAAGUGACGGUACCUGCAGAAGAAGCGCCGGCCAACUACGUG
Molecule: ribosomal RNA, 462 nt
Filed under: uncultured bacterium
Lineage: Bacteria
Description: partial 16S ribosomal RNA
Rfam family: Bacterial small subunit ribosomal RNA
Source: RNAcentral